AGUGAACGCUGGCGGUAGGCCUAACACAUGCAAGUCGAACGGCAGCACAGUAAGAGCUUGCUCUUACGGGUGGCGAGUGGCGGACGGGUGAGGAAUACAUCGGAAUCUACUUUUUCGUGGGGGAUAACGUAGGGAAACUUACGCUAAUACCGCAUACGACCUACGGGUGAAAGCAGGGGAUCUUCGGACCUUGCGCGACUGAAUGAGCCGAUGUCGGAUUAGCUAGUUGGCGGGGUAAAGGCCCACCAAGGCGACGAUCCGUAGCUGGUCUGAGGGGAUGAUCAGCCACACUGGAACUGAGACACGGUCCAGACUCCUACGGGAGGCAGCAGUGGGGAAUAUUGGACAAUGGGCGCAAGCCUGAUCCAGCCAUACCGCGUGGGUGAAGAAGGCCUUCGGGUUGUAAAGCCCUUUUGUUGGGAAAGAAAAGCAGCAGGUUAACACCCCGCUGUUCUGACGGUACCCAAAGAAUAAGCACCGGCUAACUUCGUG
This 492-nucleotide ribosomal RNA is filed under the name uncultured bacterium. RNAcentral describes it as "partial 16S ribosomal RNA". It matches the Rfam family "Bacterial small subunit ribosomal RNA", at positions 29 to 507 of the family's 1533-position model. The record is from RNAcentral.